GGAAGGGUGGCAGAGCGGUUGAAUGCAGCAGUCUUGAAAACUGUCGAUGAGUGAUCCUCAUCCGUGGGUUCGAAUCCCACCUCUUCCGCCA
This 91-nucleotide transfer RNA is filed under the name Burkholderiales bacterium 1_1_47. RNAcentral's name for it is "tRNA-Ser". It matches the Rfam family "tRNA". From Rfam's summary of the family: Transfer RNA (tRNA) molecules are approximately 80 nucleotides in length. Their secondary structure includes four short double-helical elements and three loops (D, anti-codon, and T loops). Further hydrogen bonds mediate the characteristic L-shaped molecular structure. tRNAs have two regions of fundamental functional importance: the anti-codon, which is responsible for specific mRNA codon recognition, and the 3' end, to which the tRNAs corresponding amino acid is attached (by aminoacyl-tRNA synthetases). tRNAs cope with the degeneracy of the genetic code in two manners: having more than one tRNA (with a specific anti-codon) for a particular amino acid; and 'wobble' base-pairing, i.e. permitting non-standard base-pairing at the 3rd anti-codon position. Lineage: Bacteria; Pseudomonadati; Pseudomonadota; Betaproteobacteria; Burkholderiales. The record is from RNAcentral. RNAcentral also lists the same sequence under 4 other names.